CGUUAGCGUUCCCCCCCCCCCCGCCCCCGCCCAGGGUGGGGGCGACGGCCCGGGCUCUGCGCGCUGCCCGGCGCUGUCCGAGGUGCUGGACGCCGGCGGGGCGCGCUCCACGCCGCCGGCUCUGCGCGCAGCUUCCAGAAGGCCCUGCGCGCCCCGUCCCUGAGCGCACCUGCUCCGGCUGCCCAGGACUCAAAGCACGCGGCAUCGUAUCUGCAAGGUGAGCGGCCCGCGCCCCGGCUUCGCGGAGGCCCGCCCCCCAUGUCUGGGUGAAAACAAGCACGCGUGGGGAAACAAUGAACGACUGUUCAGCUGAAGGAAACAAUGCGUGCUUUUGGAUACACGCAUGCGAAUACACCCGUGAAGUUCAUGACCUAUCACUACCCUCUACACCUGUACUUUGUACCGCGAGGCAGGACGGGAUUGGGGAAGCUGAGCCAACGCCGGCGUCGGACCGCAUGGACUGAAAUCCCAACCCAACCACUUGCCUGCCGUGGAUCUCUGAUGGAAGCCGCGUUUGUGGUGACCAUGGCGGCACCUAUCAAGUGGCCGAAUCACUGUGCUGCACUUGAAACGAAUGCAUUUAACAUGUGUCAACUGUACUCGACAAGAAAAAGGAAGAAAAGAAAGGGUCUGCUUCAUCAGGCCAGGGAGGAGGGGCAGCUCACACACGUAAAAUGUCCCGUGCUCUGCCUGGUAGACAGUCGGCGCUCUCUCUGUCUUCGCUGUUUGUCUACCUGAUCCAGUAGUAUUCAAAGUAAGCUGUUAGAAAGACUUUC
Herpailurus yagouaroundi (jaguarundi) is the source of this 776-nucleotide long non-coding RNA. RefSeq lists it as uncharacterized. The record is from RefSeq and is a predicted model, not a curated record. NCBI's taxonomy places the organism in Eukaryota, Metazoa, Chordata, Mammalia, Carnivora, Felidae. The transcript is spliced from 4 exons.